CGGACCGGCGCACGGGUGCGUAACGCGUAUGCAACCUACCUUUAACAGGGGGAUAACACUGAGAAAUUGGUACUAAUACCCCAUAAUAUCAUAGAAGGCAUCUUUUAUGGUUGAAAAUUCUGAUGGUUAGAGAUGGGCAUGCGUUGUAUUAGCUAGUUGGUGGGGUAACGGCUCACCAAGGCGACGAUACAUAGGGGGACUGAGAGGUUAACCCCCCACACUGGUACUGAGACACGGACCAG
Molecule: ribosomal RNA, 242 nt
Filed under: uncultured bacterium
Lineage: Bacteria
Description: partial 16S ribosomal RNA
Rfam family: Bacterial small subunit ribosomal RNA
Source: RNAcentral